AUAUAGCGCAAUGAAUAGCGUGUUGGACUUUUAAUCCAAAGGUCGUGGGUUCGAAUCCCACCUGGAAUG
Molecule: transfer RNA, 69 nt
Filed under: Trichonephila clavata
Lineage: Eukaryota; Metazoa; Arthropoda; Arachnida; Araneae; Nephilidae
Description: tRNA-Lys
Rfam family: tRNA (bases 4-61)
About the family: Transfer RNA (tRNA) molecules are approximately 80 nucleotides in length. Their secondary structure includes four short double-helical elements and three loops (D, anti-codon, and T loops).
Source: RNAcentral